CUUAGAAGCAGCCAUCAUUUAAAGAAAGCGUAAUAGCUCACUGGUCGAGUCGGCCUGCGCGGAAGAUGUAACGGGGCUAAACCAUGCACCGAAGCUGCGGCAGCGACGCUGAUGCGUUGUUGGGUAGGGGAGCGUUCUGUAAGCCUGCGAAGGUGGCCUGUGAGGGUUGCUGGAGGUAUCAGAAGUGCGAAUGCUGACAUAAGUAACGAUAAAGCGGGUGAAAAGCCCGCUCGCCGGAAGACCAAGGGUUCCUGUCCAACGUUAAUCGGGGCAGGGUGAGUCGACCCCUAAGGCGAGGCCGAAAGGCGUAGUCGAUGGGAAACGGGUUAAUAUUCCCGUACUUGGUGUUACUGCGAAGGGGGGACGGAGAAGGCUAUGUUGGCCGGGCGACGGUUGUCCCGGUUUAAGCGUGUAGGUGUGUGUUCCAGGUAAAUCCGGUUCACUUUAACACUGAGGCGUGAUGACGAGGCACUACGGUGCUGAAGCAACAAAUGCCCUGCUUCCAGGAAAAGCCUCUAAGCAUCAGGUAACAUCAAAUCGUACCCCAAACCGACACAGGUGGUCAGGUAGAGAAUACCAAGGCGCUUGAGAGAACUCGGGUGAAGGAACUAGGCAAAAUGGUGCCGUAACUUCGGGAGAAGGCACGCUGACACGUAGGUGAAGUGAUUUACUCAUGGAGCUGAAGUCAGUCGAAGAUACCAGCUGGCUGCAACUGUUUAUUAAAAACACAGCACUGUGCAAACACGAAAGUGGACGUAUACGGUGUGACGCCUGCCCGGUGCCGGAAGGUUAAUUGAUGGGGUCAGCGCAAGCGAAGCUCCUGAUCGAAGCCCCGGUAAACGGCGGCCGUAACUAUAACGGUCCUAAGGUAGCGAAAUUCCUUGUCGGGUAAGUUCCGACCUGCACGAAUGGCGUAAUGAUGGCCAGGCUGUCUCCACCCGAGACUCAGUGAAAUUGAACUCGCUGUGAAGAUGCAGUGUACCCGCGGCAAGACGGAAAGACCCCGUGAACCUUUACUAUAGCUUGACACUGAACAUUGAGCCUUGAUGUGUAGGAUAGGUGGGAGGCUUUGAAGUGUGGACGCCAGUCUGCAUGGAGCCGGCCUUGAAAUACCACCCUUUAAUGUUUGAUGUUCUAACGUGGACCCGUGAUCCGGGUUGCGGACAGUGUCUGGUGGGUAGUUUGACUGGGGCGGUCUCCUCCUAAAGAGUAACGGAGGAGCACGAAGGUUGGCUAAUCCUGGUCGGACAUCAGGAGGUUAGUGCAAUGGCAUAAGCCAGCUUGACUGCGAGCGUGACGGCGCGAGCAGGUGCGAAAGCAGGUCAUAGUGAUCCGGUGGUUCUGAAUGGAAGGGCCAUCGCUCAACGGAUAAAAGGUACUCCGGGGAUAACAGGCUGAUACCGCCCAAGAGUUCAUAUCGACGGCGGUGUUUGGCACCUCGAUGUCGGCUCAUCACAUCCUGGGGCUGAAGUAGGUCCCAAGGGUAUGGCUGUUCGCCAUUUAAAGUGGUACGCGAGCUGGGUUUAGAACGUCGUGAGACAGUUCGGUCCCUAUCUGCCGUGGGCGCUGGAGAACUGAGGGGGGCUGCUCCUAGUACGAGAGGACCGGAGUGGACGCAUCACUGGUGUUCGGGUUGUCAUGCCAAUGGCACUGCCCGGUAGCUAAAUGCGGAAGAGAUAAGUGCUGAAAGCAUCUAAGCACGAAACUUGCCCCGAGAUGAGUUCUCCCUGAGACUUAGAGUCUCCUGAAGGAACGUUGAAGACGACGACGUUGAUAGGCCGGGUGUGUAAGCGCAGCGAUGCGUUGAGCUAACCGGUACUAAUGAACCGUGAGGCUUAACCUUACAACGCCGAAG
Molecule: ribosomal RNA, 1855 nt
Filed under: Salmonella enterica subsp. enterica serovar Schwarzengrund
Lineage: Bacteria; Pseudomonadati; Pseudomonadota; Gammaproteobacteria; Enterobacterales; Enterobacteriaceae
Description: partial 23S ribosomal RNA
Rfam family: Bacterial large subunit ribosomal RNA
Source: RNAcentral